This 276-nucleotide ribosomal RNA is filed under the name uncultured bacterium. RNAcentral describes it as "partial 16S ribosomal RNA". The record is from RNAcentral.
CUGCUGCCUUCCGUAGGAGUCUGGUCCGUGUCUCAGUACCAGUGUGGGGGGCCUUCCUCUCAGAACCCCUACGCAUCGUCGCCUCGGUGGGCCGUUACCCCGCCGACUAGCUAAUGCGCCGCAUGCCCAUCCGUGGCCGGGAUUGCUCCCUUUGGCGGCCUUGGGAUGUCCCUAGGCCGCGUUACGCGGUAUUAGACGGGGUUUCCCCCGCUUAUCCCCCUGCCACGGGCGGGUUGCAUACGUGUUACUCACCCGUGCGCCGGUCGCCGGCAACGG